GGGUUGUGAGGUUAAGCGACUAAGCGUACACGGUGGAUGCCCUGGCAGUCAGAGGCGAUGAAGGACGUGCUAAUCUGCGAUAAGCGUCGGUAAGGUGAUAUGAACCGUUAUAACCGGCGAUUUCCGAAUGGGGAAACCCAGUGUGAUUCGUCACACUAUCAUUAACUGAAUCCAUAGGUUAAUGAGGCGAACCGGGGGAACUGAAACAUCUAAGUACCCCGAGGAAAAGAAAUCAACCGAGAUUCCCCCAGUAGCGGCGAGCGAACGGGGAGCAGCCCAGAGCCUGAAUCAGUGUGUGUGUUAGUGGAAGCGUCUGGAAAGGCGCGCGAUACAGGGUGACAGCCCCGUACACAAAAAUGCACAUACUGUGAGCUCGA
Molecule: ribosomal RNA, 377 nt
Filed under: Escherichia coli
Lineage: Bacteria; Pseudomonadati; Pseudomonadota; Gammaproteobacteria; Enterobacterales; Enterobacteriaceae
Description: partial 23S ribosomal RNA
Rfam family: Bacterial large subunit ribosomal RNA
Source: RNAcentral